This 253-nucleotide ribosomal RNA is filed under the name uncultured bacterium. RNAcentral describes it as "partial 16S ribosomal RNA". It matches the Rfam family "Bacterial small subunit ribosomal RNA", at positions 524 to 776 of the family's 1533-position model. The record is from RNAcentral.
UACGUAGGGGGCAAGCGUUGUCCGGAUUUAUUGGGUUUAAAGGGUGCGUAGGCGGCUUUUUAAGUCAGUGGUGAAAUCCUACAGCUUAACUGUAGAACAGCCAUUGAUACUGAAGAGCUUGAGUACAGACGAGGUAGGCGGAAUUUAUGGUGUAGCGGUGAAAUGCAUAGAUACCAUAAAGAACUCCUAUUGCGAAGGCAGCUUACUAGGCUGUAACUGACGCUGAGGCACGAAAGCGUGGGGAUCAAACAGG